UGGUGUUUUUAGUAACAUGUCUGUCACCGGCUUUGUUUUUGCUAUGUGUCCUUCACCUCAACCAUCGUCCAAUAGAUAUGCACCACUAUUUAGUCUCCUCCUAAAAUAAUUCGACCCCUAGAUCUUAUCGGAAAAAUGCAUCUUCUCACCGUUCGUUUCUAGUAUGUCUCCUCUGAAACUUGAUAGUGGUGCUGCCAUCUCAACUACUCAUCUCCUCCACCACCGCCUUCCAUUCCAUCUUUCUUUGCUCAUAAUUUCAUCUACACCUCUGAUUAACACCAUUCUACCUAACCUUUUCUCCUUUGAGUUGUGGCUUGGGUGGUUUGGCUUGGCUUGAAUAGCACCACAAUUGGGAGCCAAUGACCGAUCCCAUCUUCCAAUGUAAUCCACUGCUUCUUUUCAUAUCAUCGCAAACCUCUUUCUGUCUUCAUCUUUCUCUAAGAAAAAAAUCGCCACCACCAUCGCCGCUUUCUCCUAAUCGGAUGUCAUCUGGAGCCGCCCUUUCUGCACCACCUCUUCAUCCAAUCGGAUGCCAGCUCUUCUACUACUUUAUGGUAUUUUUGUGUAUUUUUUUAUUGAGAAGAGGCGGCAUCAACAUGAUGAUUUCACGAUUUGGUGCUUUUCUUCUAUGAAGAUGAAAUUGGUUGUCGAUGGAUGGGGGUAAUUGGCUGACUGUGCUCAAUUGCGUUCCUCAUGCCGACGUAUACUGUUUGAUUACCAUUAGAGGUUGAAAGCGACUAAAGUUGAAAACGAUAUGUUCAUAAAUCAAGGGUUUUGUGUCAUGGGUUUUCAAAUGAAAUAUGAGUAAACAAAAAAUACAUAAGCAUCAAUCGCAUUUAAUUAAUACACUCAAUCCAAAGGACAUCCUUUUGAUCAUCUCUUCUCUGCAAUGCUAUUGGUACCAUAAUUUCAUUAUUGUCUCCUUCAGGUUCGUGCUCAAACUUUUCUUCAGUUUAAGGUUUGUGUGGUCACUUUCUUGGUUUCACAUGUCUUUAGAAUCAAGCCCUUUUUUGCUUAGAACCUCUUCAAUUUCUGCUACUAAUGUUGAAAUUGUGUUCCUUAAUCAGAAGAAGAGGAGUAGUGUGAAGGGUAUGACAUCUGGAGGAUUUUCCCAUGAAACUAACAUGUUCAGUGUUGGAGCUGAAGUUCUGCCCUCUAGGUAUUCUAUGAAAUGAUUAUGUUGGUUUUUCCAUUUCCUUAUCAUCCUUACAUCUGUAAUUUAUGAUUUGUUCUGAAAGAGUUAUCUGAAUCCAUGGUACAAAAUAAUUAUUCUUAUCUUUAUAUUUUUUUUCAUGUGCAUAGAACCCAUUCAAAUUGUUAUUAGUGUAGUGCAAUCCCAUAGAUAAUAUAUACUUCUACAAGUUUGUAAUCUUUGAUUAGGUAAAAUGAAAAGAGUUUAUAAUUUUAUAAAAUUUAUCCUUUUGGUCUUUUAUGUUCCAGCUAGAAGGUAAAAAGAUUAGUGUUCUUCCAUCAGAUACACAUUAUACAUUAUUUUUAGGAAACCUUAACAAAGGUUUGUUUUAACUUUUAAUAACCUCUUCAUUAUAAUGUCAAUCUUUCAAUUCCCUUUUAUCUUAGGUAUAUUCUUCAUUUAGGGUCGAGUGCUAAUGAUUUUAAUAAAGUCGUAUGCCAGGAAAACUUAUAUAUAUAUAUAUAUAUAUAUAUAUAUAUAUAUAUACACUACCUCCGGAUACAUCGGUUUAUCAUAUUUUGGAGCCGCUCCCGAAACUGUUGGGACCGGAAUCAGUUCCACAUACUUAAUUUCUAUUUUUUAAAUAUUUUUAUUGAAAGAAAACAAAAAUAAAUUGUAAUAAUCUAAAUAGAAAAUUACACGGUUGGUCCCGAUGGUUUGGUGUUACUUGCAUGCUUCGUCCCUGGAAAGAAUUUUUAACUCGGACCAUCCAUAUUACUUUAAUUUGUUACCCGCCUAGUCCCUUACUUAACUUUCCGUCUGAUUUGGGGUUAGGAACCCCUCACGUGAGUGGUACGCUGGGGGUAUUUUUGUCCUUUCAUAAUUCAACGGACUUAAAACUACUACUCCUUCCUUCUUUACUCAAUCGGUGCUUCCACUUCUCUUCUUCUACUCCAUUUCUCUUGAUUCGUGAAGAUUGAAGAUCCACAAAAUUGAUUAUGGUGAAAUGCAUAUGUGGAGCUGUAGUGUUAUACGAACUUCAAGGACAAAGAGAAACCCGGUAGGCCAUUUUAUGCAUGCCCUUUACAGGGACCAAGUAGUGGAGUUAUUUCGUGGGUAGAUGAAGAAAAUCAUAAGCAUCAGGUUGAAUGCCAAAAUCUUGAGCUUGAAAUCCACAAUGAAGAACUUCAAAUCCAAAAUAGUGACCUUGAAAUCCAUAAUGAAGAGCUUGAAAUCCAAAAUCGGAACCAGAAAAUGUUGUUAAUUGUCAGUUGGAUUUUGUUUUUUGGGAUAAUUGUUUACAAGUUGUAGUAUUAGGUAUAUCAGUAGGUUUUUGGUUGAAGAUCAUCUAAUGCAAGGGUAAUAUUAGCAUGUUUGUAUUGCUGCAUUUUAAUGAAAGGGUAUAUUUUGGUACAA
Non-coding RNA from Lactuca sativa (garden lettuce), 2548 nucleotides. Lineage: Eukaryota; Viridiplantae; Streptophyta; Magnoliopsida; Asterales; Asteraceae. The record is from RefSeq and is a predicted model, not a curated record.